AGGAUGAACGCUAGCUACAGGCUUAACACAUGCAAGUCGAGGGGCAGCAGGAAUCUAGCUUGCUAGAUUGCUGGCGACCGGCGCACGGGUGAGUAACGCGUAUCCAACCUUCCCCAUAGUAGAGGAUAGCCCGGCGAAAGUCGGAUUAAUACUCUAUGCUGUAUUUUGAGGACAUCUGACGAAUACCAAAGAUUGAUCGCUAUGGGAUGGGGAUGCGUCUGAUUAGGUUGUUGGCGGGGUAACGGCCCACCAAGCCGACGAUCAGUAGGGGUUCUGAGAGGAAGGUCCCCCACAUUGGUACUGAGACACGGACCAAACUCCUACGGGAGGCAGCAGUGAGGAAUAUUGGUCAAUGGGCGAGAGCCUGAACCAGCCAAGUAGCGUGCCAGGAUGACUGCCCUAUGGGUUGUAAACUGCUUUUAUAGGGGAAUAAAGUCCACUACGUGUAGUGGUUUGUAUGUACCCUAUGAAUAAGGACCGGCUAAUUCCGUGCCAGCAGCAGC
Molecule: ribosomal RNA, 503 nt
Filed under: uncultured bacterium
Lineage: Bacteria
Description: bacterial SSU rRNA
Rfam family: Bacterial small subunit ribosomal RNA
Source: RNAcentral